Molecule: ribosomal RNA, 750 nt
Filed under: uncultured archaeon
Lineage: Archaea
Description: bacterial SSU rRNA
Rfam family: Archaeal small subunit ribosomal RNA
Source: RNAcentral
CUCUGGAAUGAGUCUUCACCCAAAAGACGCUUACGCUAUGCUUGUAGGCGCCGCCCAAGGAUGGGGCCGCGACCGAUCAGGUUGUUGGUGAGGUAAUGGCUCACCAAGCCUUUUACCGGUGCGGGCCGUGAGAGCGGGAGCCCGGAGAUGGGCACUGAGACAAGGGCCCAGGCCCUACGGGGCGCAGCAGUCGCGAAAACUUUGCAAUAAGCGAAAGCUCGACAGGGCUAUCCCGAGUGCCAUCCGCUGAGGAAGGCUUUUACCCAGUCUAGAACGCUGGGGGAAUAAGGAGAGGGCAAGUCUGGUGUCAGCCGCCGCGGUAAUACCAGCUCUCCGGGUGGUGUGGAUGUUUAUUGGGCCUAAAGCAUCCGUAGCUGGCUAGGUUAGUCCCUUGUUAAAUCCACCGAAUUAAUCGUUGGAUUGCGGGGGAUACUGCUUGGCUAGGGGACGAGAGAGGCAGACGGUAUUUCCGGGGUAGGGGUGAAAUCCUAUAAUCCCGGGAAGACCACCAGUGGCGAAGGCUGUCUGCUAGAACGCGCCCGACGGUGAGGGAUGAAAGCUGGGGGAGCGAACCGGAUUAGAUACCCGGGUAGUCCCAGCUGUAAACGAUGCAGGCUAGGUGUUUGGACGGCCACGUGCCGUUCUAGUGCCGCAGGGAAGCUGUUAAGCCUGCCGCCUGGGGAGUACGAUCGCAAGAUUGAAACUUAAAGGAAUUGGCGGGGGAGCACCACAAGGGGUGAAGCUUGCGGU